This 2641-nucleotide long non-coding RNA is filed under the name Rattus norvegicus (Norway rat). RNAcentral describes it as "long non-coding RNA NONRATT021634". Lineage: Eukaryota; Metazoa; Chordata; Mammalia; Rodentia; Muridae. The record is from RNAcentral.
GCUUCUUUACUGCCUAGCCUCUUUCUGAGGCUGCAGUUGGGGUUGUGCCAUCUUGAGUUUUUGAAGUUCAAGUGAGUCACUUAUGCCCUUGGAAUGGUUUUCUAGUUUGUCAGUGUCAGAAUUAGAUGUGGACGGUGUUCUGAGAUAGUCACGGCAUCAACCAGGGUGGUCAAUGUGGCCCUCAAAUGGAGCAGUAUCAUCCACACUACAUAGAACUGUUUCUUGAACCGGUAAUACUGCUCAUGUAUGUCUGCUGGUCAAUAUCCCUGAAAGCUGGACCUAUUGUCUGGAACCUGAUGUCAUGGGGAUCUGGAAGCCUGCUGCUGCUUUCCAGGGGCUGUUGGUGCUGCUGAAACUCUAAAUCCAGGCCUUGAAAAGCAUCGCCUGACAGCUGUUUUUUUCCAGGGGGAAGGUCCUGACAAAACAGAUGCCCACUUCUUCCUUUGCCUAACUAACUACCAGUCUCCAGAUUAUGUGGUUCUUUGCAAAAAGUCUUAACUCUUAUGUCAAUUUCUAAAGACAACUCCAAAAUGAGAUGAGGUUGACCUAGGUGUUUUGUACAAGGUUCUGGACCUCCUCAUUGAGUGCCUCCCAUCAGUGUGUACUUUCUGUGCACAACCUGUCCCUUCAGCCACACUGUGCAUGUCCAGAGUUACAGGCCUAGAUGACUGAAUGAAUGUACAUGUGUUCAUAUUAUCUUCUUUGUACAGUGUAUAUAAUGUGUGUACAUAGGUGUACAUUAUGUAUACAGACUUAUAGCCACAUAUUCAAACUUCUAUGUUAUCAAGAGUUGAUGCUAGCGUUGCUAAUGUGAAUAGAUGUGGGUGUUACAAGGUUCCCUUAACAGGAGCAUUGUGCUGGUGAGUUUCUUACCAACUUCAUUUUCCUGAGGCGGGGAGCUGCCUGGACCAGGUGACACUUACUCCUGCAUAAGGAAGCCUUGAGCCAGAAAGGUCCUGAUAGGAGGACAGUUCUCUAAGUUUAUAAGGGCCCAGAAGCUGGAAGAGAUGUUAGCCUAAUAUCCAAAACUAAGGAUAAACCUGCUUUUCACAAACCAGUUUAGCCUAACUGGAAGGAACUUGGUGACUGAGACCCUCAGUCUUCUCCAAAGCUUGGAGCUUUGUGUGGCUCAGAGAUGGGCAUUCCGGAGCUGCAGCAGCCUCCCUUGUUUACCCUGGGCUCUGUCAGCAAGACUGAGCAAGACUUGGGUGCUCUCUGCUGGUUUAAAAAAAAAAAAAGCCUACCAAACAUUCUCUGAAAACAAUGCGAUAGCUAACUUGUGGCAUAUAAAAACCACAAUUAGCAAAUUAUCCUAACUUAACUACAUUCUGUAAAAGUUGUAUUUAAUAGUAAGAAAGCUAAGGUUGACAUUUUCCUCAUCCACCAGGUCUAUUCUAUUUGUCCCCUCUGAUUGGGGUUUUCUAGGCUGAGAUGUGGACUUGGGAGACAGGGCCCAGCUUGGCCGAGGCUGCUAGUGGCCACAGUGAGCAGGCACCUGGCUUGGAUGAAGCCAGGGGCAAAAGCUUGCCUGACCCGCAGGUUGCUCUGUGUUUGAAGUAAGUUACUGGAGUGUUAAGACUGCAGUCCUUAGUGCCUUCGGUGAGAUAUGGGUCUUUUGGCUUCAGCUUCCCACUUGUGUCCCUGGCCUCACCCUUUGUGGUUGUUCAAUCUUGCCUGUGUCGUUGCCUGUUGUGACAAUCACACUACUAAAAGUGGCUUUCCAAGUAAAACACAGGGAAGCUUGGCCGUCCCUAAAUGAAUCCUUCCAUUUUCUUUGGGGGCUAUUGUCUUAGCAGCAACCUAACAGAAAGCUUAAAAGUGGCCUAGGAAGGGGAAAAACAUAAGACAUUUCCAAUGCUCAGCAAUACGCACUUUUAGUUAAUUUUCAGUUUUGAUAUAUAUACAUGGAAUGUAGGAAAAUGCUCAACAUUAUCUUAAGUUUUAGUGUUUGGGUAACAUUUGGUAUAGACUGCACAUUAAGAAUGGCCUUUCUUCAGGAAAGUACCCUCAGUUGUCAUCCCAACAUCCCUAUUCAUUCACGGAUGCCAAUGCUGCUGCACACACAACUCAAGUGCUGGAAUAUUUUUCUAGUCUGUUUUCCCAAUUAACUUGUAAAUCAGUGUUCAACUAGUUUUAUAACUGAAAAGCUGCACAUUUUUUUCAUAGUAACAACUAGUUUGUACCUGUAGUUUGGAUUUCUCUGUUAAGAUAUAACCUUAUCUGCCCCCCACCCACCCCACUCCCUUUUUGGAGAACAUCUACUAAAGGAAAGUCCAGUGUGGAAUUUUCUUGGGACCGGUUGUGUAACUCCCGCCCUUCAUACUAUAGAAAAUGCCAUGGAUGCCGUUACCUUUUGAUUCCAGGUUAAAAACCUGCAGAGAGCUGCCAUUUUGUACAGCUUUUUCUCCCCAUGUAAAUGAGCUAUGUAAUGGCAUUUAAAACCGCAUGUUCUUUUUAAACUGAAUUUUCUAUCUAAUCAAUGUCUUCAGUCCUGAAGGAGAAUCUGCAUUGUUGUCUGUAUAGAGAGUUGCUGUGCAUGGUUACGAGCGCCUUUUACUAAAUGCUGUUCAAUGUGGCUUUGUUGUUGUGGCUUAAUACUACCUACAUGAGGUUUAUACUAUUAAAGUAAGUUAAAGACUAG